AUAGUAAGAUGCAGAUGCUCAUCUUGGCAGCAGGCAUUACUGCAUUGCCAUCUGGUACAAAGAGAAAGGUGUUCCAACAUGGCUAUGGAUGGCUGCAAGUUAGAGGAUGAGAUUACAGGAGAGGACUUAUGGAAAGGAGAAAUGAAAGUAUCAGCCCUCCCAACAAAGAAACUCUGAGAGCUCAUGACCCUAUAUGUCAGAUGUUAAAGCUACAGCUGCAAUGGUCAAACAGAGCUUCUUGAACACAGCAGCAUUAUUCCACUGAUGCCACCCACAGCAGAAUUUUCCAUGGCUCAGCUGACUCUGUGUUGAUAGUUUCCUCCAGUUUUGCAGCAGAAAGGUCAAAGUUCUGCUCCCCACACUGAUUUUCCAGCUGGUAGCAAACCAAUGAGAUAUAUGUAGUCAUGAGUGCCUGUGUGUGUUACAAGGAUGACCUUAUUUUAAAUAAAGUUAACUCUAAAAGUU
Molecule: long non-coding RNA, 465 nt
Organism: Neopsephotus bourkii (Bourke's parrot)
Lineage: Eukaryota; Metazoa; Chordata; Aves; Psittaciformes; Psittacidae
Exons: 4
Source: RefSeq, a predicted model, not a curated record